Molecule: ribosomal RNA, 539 nt
Filed under: uncultured bacterium
Lineage: Bacteria
Description: bacterial SSU rRNA
Rfam family: Bacterial small subunit ribosomal RNA
Source: RNAcentral
GAGGAAUAUUGGUCAAUGGACGGAAGUCUGAACCAGCCAAGUAGCGUGCAGGAUGACGGCCCUAUGGGUUGUAAACUGCUUUUGUAUGGGGAUAAAGUUAGGGACGUGUCCCUAUUUGCAGGUACCAUACGAAUAAGGACCGGCUAAUUCCGUGCCAGCAGCCGCGGUAAUACGGAAGGUCCAGGCGUUAUCCGGAUUUAUUGGGUUUAAAGGGAGCGUAGGCUGGAGAUUAAGUGUGUUGUGAAAUGUAGACGCUCAACAUCUGAAUUGCAGCGCAUACUGGUUUCCUUGAGUACGCACAACGUUGGCGGAAUUCGUCGUGUAGCGGUGAAAUGCUUAGAUAUGACGAAGAACUCCGAUUGCGAAGGCAGCUGACGGGAGCGCAACUGACGCUUAAGCUCGAAGGUGCGGGUAUCAAACAGGAUUAGAUACCCUGGUAGUCCGCACAGUAAACGAUGGAUGCCCGCUGUUGGUACCUGGUAUCAGCGGCUAAGCGAAAGCAUUAAGCAUCCCACCUGGGGAGUACGCCGGCAACGGUG